This 499-nucleotide ribosomal RNA is filed under the name uncultured Glomeromycotina. RNAcentral's name for it is "partial small subunit ribosomal RNA". It matches the Rfam family "Eukaryotic small subunit ribosomal RNA", at positions 591 to 1092 of the family's 1831-position model. The record is from RNAcentral. Lineage: Eukaryota; Fungi; Glomeromycota.
CCAAUAGCGUAUAUUAAAGUUGUUGCAGUUAAAAAGCUCGUAGUUGAAUUUCGGGAUUAAUUUACUGGUCGUGCUAUUGUACGUACUGGUUUUAUUGAUUCCUCCCUUCUGACGAACUAUGAUGCCAUUAAUUUGGUGUCAUAGGGAAUCAGGACUGUUACUUUGAAAAAAUUAGAGUGUUUAAAGCAGGCUCACGCUUGAAUACAUUAGCAUGGAAUAACGGAAUAGGACGUUUGAUUCUAUUUUGUUGGUUUCUAGGAUCGACGUAAUGAUUAAUAGGGAUAGUUGUGGGCAUUAGUCUUCAAUUGGCAGAGGUGAAAUUCUUUGAUUUAUUGAAGACUAACUACUGCGAAAGCAUUUGCCAAGGAUGUUUUCAUUAAUCAAGAACGAAAGUUAGGGGAUCGAAGACGAUCAGAUACCGUCGUAGUCUUAACCAUAAACUAUGCCGACUAGGGAUCGGAUGAUGUUAAUUUUUUAAUGACUCAUUCGGCGCCUUACG